Molecule: long non-coding RNA, 788 nt
Filed under: Ananas comosus (pineapple)
Lineage: Eukaryota; Viridiplantae; Streptophyta; Magnoliopsida; Poales; Bromeliaceae
Description: long non-coding RNA (ACOM_LNC000259)
Source: RNAcentral
AAUGAAUCUGCGGGUUGACGGAGCUCUCGUCCCGAUCUAUUUCAAAUGGUACGGUAAGUGAGAACAAAAAAAAUAUAGAAAAAUAUAAUUCACCCUAAAUCCCCUCCCAUCCGUCAAAUUAAUAGAGCGGGAGGCGGGACACCUCUUUCUUCCCUCAAUUCAUCUCAAUUCAUCAAAACUUCGUAAAAAAUUUGCUCCUGUCCUGAUUCGCCUCUAAUGGAGCAAUAAAUGACGACAGAAAAUAGAAUUUAAAUCAACCCACCCCAAAUCCGUCCCACACUGACAAGAAAUGGAGUGGGAGGUAGGAGAUUGCUCCCGCCCCUGGAUUCGCCCGGUUUGCAUCUCUGGCUGGGUUGUUAAACGCUGUUUAGUUCAUGCGUACACAAAAACAUACUCUCGUUGAGUUAUAACUUCAUGAGAAUUCAUUGUGGUUGUACGAGAAUUUAUAGUUGAUGUCGGGGCUUCACUUGUUUUGCGGAUUAUGGUUAUGUGAUUAAUUUGUUACUUUUUUUUGGUGUGAAAAUCAAAAAUUGAAAAAUCUAUAAAUUUUAAGUUAAGCUUUAAAUUGAUACUUCGUAUUCAUUAAAUUUUUUUAAAAAUGGAGAAAGAACAAAUAAAAAGUAAGGGAAAACUGAAGAAGAUGAAGGGGAAAAUAUAGAUUUUUAAAAGAUAGGAGAGGAUAUUGAAAAAUCGAGUUUUGAUAGGAAGAUGAAAGUGAAGUGGCGUUCUCUUUAAAAUUUGGCGUAAUAUAAAACAAAAUCGAUAUUGCUAAAUCUAUGUUUGAUAUU